Molecule: ribosomal RNA, 433 nt
Filed under: uncultured bacterium
Lineage: Bacteria
Description: partial 16S ribosomal RNA
Rfam family: Bacterial small subunit ribosomal RNA
Source: RNAcentral
GACGAACGCUGGCGGCAUGCCUAACACAUGCAAGUCGAACGGAACCUCCCGGCCUUGUUGAGCUCGUGUGCGUACCACCUGGGAACUAGCCCGUAGGUUCGGUGUCAUUCCCCGUAGGGGGUGCUCAUACCAGUUAAUCUCUUCGGGCAUAAGAUGUCUCGCUUUUGGAUGGGCGCGCGUUAGUUUCGCUAGUUGGUAGGGUAAAAGCCUACCAAGGCGACGAUCCAUAGCUGGUCGGUUAGGAGGACCAGCCACACUGGGACUGAGACACGGCCUAGACUCGUAGGGGAGGGAGCAGUGGGGAAUAUUGGAGGAGGGGCGAAAGCCUGAUACAGCCAUGCCGGGUGAGUGGUGAAGGCCUUAGGGUUGUAAAGCUCUUUGAGCCGAGAUGAUAAUGACAGUACCGGGAGAAGAAGCUCCGGCUAACUCCGUG